This 376-nucleotide ribosomal RNA is filed under the name uncultured organism. RNAcentral describes it as "partial 16S ribosomal RNA". It matches the Rfam family "Bacterial small subunit ribosomal RNA", at positions 527 to 897 of the family's 1533-position model. The record is from RNAcentral.
GUAGGUGGCAAGCGUUGUCCGGGAAUUAUUGGGGCGUAAAGCGCGCGCAGGCGGUUCUUUAAGUCUGAUGUGAAAGCCCACGGGCUCAACCGUGGAGGGUCAUUGGAAACUGGAGAACUUGAGUACAGAAGAGGAAAGCGGAAUUCCACGUGUAGCGGUGAAAUGCGUAGAGAUGUGGAGGAACACCAGUGGCGAAGGCGGCUUUCUGGUCUGUAACUGACGCUGAGGCGCGAAAGCGUGGGGAGCAAACAGGAUUAGAUACCCUGGUAGUCCACGCCGCAAACGAUGAGUGCUAAGUGUUAGGGGGUUUCCGCCCCUUAGUGCUGCAGCUAACGCAUUAAGCACUCCGCCUGGGGAGUACGGCCGCAAAGGCUGA